AGGCCCUCGGGGGCCUCGUGGGCGUCACCAGCUCCCGCCUGGGCUCCAUGAAGACCCGGUUCGAGGGGCUGUGCCUGCUGUCGCUGCUGGUGAGCGAGAGC
Molecule: long non-coding RNA, 101 nt
Organism: Nothoprocta perdicaria
Lineage: Eukaryota; Metazoa; Chordata; Aves; Tinamiformes; Tinamidae
Exons: 2
Source: RefSeq, a predicted model, not a curated record